This 234-nucleotide unclassified non-coding RNA is filed under the name Hevea brasiliensis (rubber tree). The record is from RNAcentral. Lineage: Eukaryota; Viridiplantae; Streptophyta; Magnoliopsida; Malpighiales; Euphorbiaceae.
AGUGAUAAUGAUAGUAUAAGUAAGCAAACAGACUAACAUUUGAUUGAAGAGUUAACUGAGGGAGAUUAGAAAGUGACAGAUUCUACUCCAGGAGGAGCAAAAAACUAAUGAUUUUUUGCUUUAAAUUCCUUCAGGAAUGGAAAAACUGAACUCAAGUCGGCCAAAAACCCAUUAGAAAUCCAGAACUAAAAAAUUAGAAAAUUUCUAAAAAUCAGUUUCAAAAAAAAAAAAAAA